AGUAACGGCGAGUGAAGCGGCAACAGCUCAAAUUUGAAAUCUGGAGCUCCUUGGGCUUCCGAGUUGUAAUUUGCAGAGGGAGCCUCGGAGGGCGCGCCGGUCCAAGUGCCUUGGAACAGGAUACCGCAGAGGGUGAGAGUCCCGUAUCCGGCCGGUGGUGCGCUCCGUGUGAGGCCUCUUCGACGAGUCGAGUUGUUUGGGAAUGCAGCUCCAAGCGGGUGGUAAAUUCCAUCUAAAGCUAAAUACUGGCCAGAGACCGAUAGCGAACAAGUAGAGUGAUCGAAAGAUGAAAAGCACUUUGAAAAGAGAGUCAAACAGUACGUGAAAUUGUUGAAAGGGAAGCGCAUGGGGGCAGACUUGGCCGCGGGGUUCAGGGUGCGUUCUCGCGCCUGCACUUCGCCGCGGACAGGCCAGCAUCGGUUCUGGGGGUCGGAGAAAGGCGCUGGGAAGGUGGCAGCCUUCGGGGUGUGUUAUAGCCCGGCGCGCAAUGCGGCCACCUGGGACCGAGGACCGCGCUUCGGCAAGGAUGCUGGCGUAAUGGCCUCAUGCGGCCCGUCUUGAAACACGGACCAAGGAGUCUAACAUCUAUGCGAGUGUUUGGGUGGCAAGCCCGGACGCGCAAUGAAAGUGAACGGAGGUGGGACUUUUGACAAGAAAGGCACCAUCGACCGAUCCGGACGUUUUCCGAAGGAUUUGAGUAAGAGCAUAGCUGUUGGGACCCGAAAGAUGGUGAACUAUGCGUGAAUAGGGUGAAGCCAGAGGAAACUCUGGUGGAGGCUCGCAGCGGUUCUGACGUGCAAAUCGAUCGUCAAAUUUGCGUAUAGGGGCGAAAGAC
RNAcentral lists this ribosomal RNA (835 nucleotides) under Scolecobasidium verrucosum. RNAcentral's name for it is "LSU rRNA". It matches the Rfam family "Eukaryotic large subunit ribosomal RNA", at positions 82 to 931 of the family's 3401-position model. The record is from RNAcentral. Lineage: Eukaryota; Fungi; Ascomycota; Dothideomycetes; Venturiales; Sympoventuriaceae.